Long non-coding RNA from Myotis myotis, 469 nucleotides. RefSeq lists it as uncharacterized. The record is from RefSeq and is a predicted model, not a curated record. The transcript is spliced from 3 exons. Lineage: Eukaryota; Metazoa; Chordata; Mammalia; Chiroptera; Vespertilionidae.
AGCGCCCCCGCCGGCUCCCCGCCCUCCGACUUCCCCCGGACGCCGGCCAGGACCCCGAGGACAGCAGGGAGAGUGGCGGCUAGACAGGAUACCCCGGGGCCGGAACGUCCGGGACGCCGAGGCCCCCACUGCUUCGCUCCCGCUCGCCCCUGCGACCUCGGGCCCAGCGCGCACGCCAGCCCCAGUAGCUCAGGGUAGAACCUCUCAUCCUGCCCAACAGCAGUUCCCUUGAAGGAACUGCCCCCAAGAGCAGCAUUUUCCAGAAGAUGGCGCCUGCAGAACGUUGUCCCUGACCAAAGCCACCCACAGAGAGCAAAGCGCCCGGACCACCCGAAGCAGUUAUCAGAAAGGCCUGUCAGGUGCCUGACUUCAACAAUUCCAAGACUAGAUCCCAGCCCACGACAGCCUCAGCCCCUCUCACCUGCCAAGAAAGAGCCUGCACUUUGAGUCGCUUGUGCCCAACCCAGAC